Molecule: microRNA precursor, 90 nt
Filed under: Podarcis lilfordi (Lilford's wall lizard)
Lineage: Eukaryota; Metazoa; Chordata; Lepidosauria; Squamata; Lacertidae
Source: RNAcentral
CUGGCUUCCCAGCGAAGCGGGAUGAGGGACAGAAGGGGCUCCGUGUAAGGGCUCCCUUCUGUUCCUCCUCCCGCUUCACUGGGAAGCCAG